UAAAGGCCUACCAAGGCGAAGACGGGUAGGGGUGUGAGAGCACGACCCCCACAAUGGGACUGAAACACGGCCCAUACUCCUACGGGAGGCAGCAGCAGGGAAUAUUGCACAAUGGGCGAAAGCCUGAUGCAGCGACGCCGCGUGAGUGAAGAAGGCCUUCGGGUCGUAAAGCUCUUUUGUAGGGGAAGAGGAAGGACGGUACCCUGAGAAAAAGCGUCGGCUAACUACGUGCCAGCAGCCGCGGUAAGACGUAGGACGCGAGCGUUAUCCGGAAUUACUGGGCGUAAAGGGCCAGCAGGCGGCUAGGUAAGUUGUGCGUGAAAGCCUCGUGCUCAACGCGAGGAAGCCGGACAAUACUGUCUAGCUGGAGGGCAUCAGAGGGGAGUGGAAUUCCCGGAGUAGCGGUAAAAUGCGCAGAUAUCGGGAGGAACACCGAUGGCGAAGGCAACUCCCUGGGGUGUACCUGACGCUAAGUGGCGAAAGCUAGGGGAGCGAACAGGAUUAGAGACCCUGGUAGUCCUAGCUGUAAACGCUGGGUGCUAGGUGUGGGGCGUAGAAGCUCUGUGCCGGAGCGAACGCGAUAAGCACCCCGCCUGGGAAUUACGGUCGCAAGGCUAAAACUCAAACGAAUUGACGGGGCCCCGCACAAGCAGCGGAGCGUGUGGUUCAAUUCGAUGCUACACGAAGAACCUUACCUGGGUUUGACAUGUACGUGGUAGAGAAGCGAAAGCGGAUUGACCCUUCGGGGAGCGUACACAGGUGCUGCAUGGCUGUCGUCAGCUCGUGCCGUGAGGUGCCGGGUUAAGUCCCGUAACGAGCGCAACCCUUGCCCUUAGUUACAAGUGUCUAGGGGGACUGCCGACGGGAAGCCGGAGCCAGGUGGGGAUGACGUCAAGUCAGCAUGGCCCUUAUGUCCAGGGCUACACACACGCUACAAUGGUCAGUACAAAGGGUAGCGAAGCCGUGAGGUGGAGCGAAUCUCAGCAAAGCUGAUCGUAGUUCGGAUUGCAGGCUGCAACCCGCCUGCAUGAAGCUGGAGUUGCUAGUAACCGCGCGUCAGCCAUCGCGCGCUGAAUACGUACCCGGGGCUUGUACACACCGCCCGUCACGUCAUGGGAGUCGG
This 1123-nucleotide ribosomal RNA is filed under the name uncultured organism. RNAcentral's name for it is "bacterial SSU rRNA". It matches the Rfam family "Bacterial small subunit ribosomal RNA", at positions 258 to 1414 of the family's 1533-position model. The record is from RNAcentral.